Molecule: ribosomal RNA, 320 nt
Filed under: uncultured Prevotella sp.
Lineage: Bacteria; Pseudomonadati; Bacteroidota; Bacteroidia; Bacteroidales; Prevotellaceae
Description: partial 16S ribosomal RNA
Source: RNAcentral
GGAGUUUGGACCGUGUCUCAGUUCCAAUGUGGGGGACCUUCCUCUCAGAACCCCUACUGAUCGCGGGCUUGGUGGGCCGUUACCCCGCCAACAACCUAAUCAGACGCAUCCCCAUCGCAAAGCGGUGAACCUUUACUGCAAUUCUGAUGUCAUCAUCACAGCACAUAGGGCAUUAAUCUUACUUUCGCAAGGCUAUUCCCUACUUAUGGGCAGGUUGGAUACGCGAUACUCACCCGUGCGCCGGUCGUCAUCAAAGAAAGCAAGCUUUCUUCAUGUUACCCCUCGACUUGCAUGUGUUAAGCCUGUAGCUAGCGUUCAUC